CGUGUCCAUUCCUCUGUGUAGAAGUAGUCAAGGAGGCGUGAGGUUGUUGUCUUCAUUCAUCGUCAUUUUGAUCACCUCGUAAACUCUGCCACAUAGUGCACUCUGGAUAUUUUGUAGAGUAACGCCUGAAGAAGAUUCGAGCGAAGAGUGUGUGUGAUAUUAGAGAAAGGGUAGCGCUGGAAGAGAGAAAUGAGAAGAGGAAGUAAGAGUUUGAUGGAUCUGGGUGGCGGUGGCGGUGGCACAACUAGUCAGGGAUACAAGCCAAGAAUGGGUGACAGCAAUGGGGAAGGUGACACGAGUCGUUUAGAGCAGCUGAAACUAGAAGCACACAACGCUACUACCGUGUUAAACAAGCACUCACAGACAAGGAGCCAUGAGGUCACUGUGGGAGACCAAUGACUGUGUCUUAGAUGCAGCCAUAAUCUGGGGGCACCAAGGUCAUGUCUCCCCCCUUCCCACACAAAAAAGUUAAAUAUAUAAUUUUCCUGCAUUAUGGGGCAUUUUAAGAGAUCAGUUCUAAUAUUUUUUUUCAUUGAUGAUCAUGAUCUUUUUUGAGUGGACUACUGUACAGUAACAUUUAUUAGCACAAAGGUGCCGAGCAAUUCAAGUUCUGUUAAGUUAUAAAGCUGUAAACAUUCUUUCCAACAGCUAUUGGUUUAUGUUGUAAUGAAAGAAUAAGAAUUAUAGUCAGGCAGAAAGCAUGUACAAUGCUGUACUGCACUGUGCAGUACAGUACAGGGUUCUGUUACUGGCAGCUGUGGCUCUCCCUACACUUAUGGUUGUACUGGUCAGGGAAUUUCCUCUCAUAAGUAACUUUUUCUUCACAACACAUCAGCUGUAGUGCUCAGGCUUACAAAGGUGUUAUCCAGCGACACUUACUGCCUCAAUGGCUACGGUACUUAGCUGAUAAUUGGUAAAAAUUAUAAAUUUGAAUUAAUAUUAAAAAAAUAAAAAUAAAGUUAUACCUGUACUGAGCAAAAGUGUUAAGUAAUUUUUUA
Molecule: long non-coding RNA, 998 nt
Organism: Homarus americanus (American lobster)
Lineage: Eukaryota; Metazoa; Arthropoda; Malacostraca; Decapoda; Nephropidae
Exons: 3
Source: RefSeq, a predicted model, not a curated record